ACGCCUUUCGAGCCCCUCUGAUGGGCUCGGUGUUGGGGCGCUAGGGGGCGGUUUCUCGCGAAGCCCCCCCUAGGCCCCCAAGCAGAAGUGCGCGGUCCGUCUGCGGGCCCCGGGUACAGUAACUCUACCGUUAACCUGGGAGAAGCAGCUGGGCUUGCCGUAAAACCCCCGACAUAGGGACCUCUGUGCCUCGCGCAGGGAGGGACCGCCAUAUG
This 215-nucleotide unclassified non-coding RNA is filed under the name uncultured Hypocreales. RNAcentral's name for it is "sequence contains ITS2". The record is from RNAcentral. Lineage: Eukaryota; Fungi; Ascomycota; Sordariomycetes; Hypocreales.